GUGCUCUUCAGAAGCACAUAUCUUAAAACUGGAUUAGCACACUCCCAUACAAGGAUGACUUUCAAAUUCAUGAAGCAUUCCACAUUUUU
Molecule: small nuclear RNA, 89 nt
Filed under: Phascolarctos cinereus (koala)
Lineage: Eukaryota; Metazoa; Chordata; Mammalia; Diprotodontia; Phascolarctidae
Source: RNAcentral